UAGGGAAUCUUCGGCAAUGGGGGGAACCCUGACCGAGCAACGCCGCGUGAGUGAAGAAGGUUUUCGGAUCGUAAAGCUCUGUUGUUAAGGAAGAACGAGUGUGAGAAUGGAAAGUUCAUACUGUGACGGUACUUAACCAGAAAGGGACGGUUAACUACGUGCCAGCAGCCGCGGUAAUACGUAGGUCCCGAGCGUUGUCCGGAUUUAUUGGGCGUAAAGCGAGCGCAGGCGGUUAGAUAAGUCUGAAGUUAAAGGCAGUGGCUCAACCAUUGUAGGCUUUGGAAACUGUUUAACUUGAGUGCAGAAGGGGAGAGUGGAAUUCCAUGUGUAGCGGUGAAAUGCGUAGAUAUAUGGAGGAACACCGGUGGCGAAAGCGGCUCUCUGGUCUGUAACUGACGCUGAGGCUCGAAAGCGUGGGGAGCGAACAGG
Molecule: ribosomal RNA, 429 nt
Filed under: Bacteroidota bacterium
Lineage: Bacteria; Pseudomonadati; Bacteroidota
Description: Bacteroidetes bacterium partial 16S ribosomal RNA
Rfam family: Bacterial small subunit ribosomal RNA
Source: RNAcentral